AUUUUGAGAGUGUAAAACAAANNAUUUGGCGGUGUUUCAUUCAAUUAGGGGAUCCUGUAAUUUAAUUUGAUAGUCCACAAUUUAUAAAUCUAGUAUUUGAAAAUUAUCAAUAAAUGUAUUGCCGUAUUAUAGUCUUUAAUAAAAAUAUUAUAAUAACUAUAUAUAUAUAUAUAUAUAUAUAACUAUCACAGGUAAAAUAUUGUUUAUAUACUAGUAUUAAUGGGAUACUAUAAUUUAAGAGAUCAUAUUAAUAUUAGAAUAAAGGUAUUAAAAAAUUGGCACCUACAUAGUAAUUAAGUUAAAUAAAAAUAAUGAAUAAGAAC
Molecule: ribosomal RNA, 323 nt
Filed under: Haemadipsa sumatrana
Lineage: Eukaryota; Metazoa; Annelida; Clitellata; Hirudinida; Haemadipsidae
Description: partial 12S ribosomal RNA
Source: RNAcentral